Molecule: unclassified non-coding RNA, 211 nt
Filed under: plant metagenome
Description: partial contains small subunit ribosomal RNA, internal transcribed spacer 1, and 5.8S ribosomal RNA
Source: RNAcentral
UUUCCGUAGGUGAGCCUGCGGAAGGAUCAUUCAUAAUAAAGUGUUUUAUGGCACUUUUUAAAAAUCCAUAUCCACCUUGUGUGCAAUGUUAGAUCUCGUCAAUCUUGGCGAGAUUUUUAUAUAUCAACUCAUUCUUUAACUAAUUUGUCUGAAAAAUAUUAUGAAUACUUAAUUCAAAAUACAACUUUCAACAACGGAUCUCUUGGCUCUC